CAGGACAGCCAGGGCUAUAUAGAAAAACCAUGUCUCAAAAAACCAACCCCCCCCCAAAAGUAAAAUAUACAGAGGUAGAGCUAGUUAAUCAAAGUUAGAUAGGGGAUUUACGAUGGCAUUGCCAUCCAGAGGACAACUUUGAGGUCCUCAGCAUACAUAAAUUCUGCUUCCUCUCUGCCCAGCUUCUGCUCUCCUUAGGAUGGGACGAUCUACUUGCAGCCACGGGCUAUCAAUUCAAUUUUUUAGCAUUACUUUCUCAACAACCUGAUAGUUUUUCCAGUAUUAAGGUCCUAUGCUCAUUAUGAGCCGAACAAGGACAGCAACACACGUACUAAGGAAGACCACAAGUCUUGAAUCCCACACAAAAAUCUAUGGGCCACUAAGAUGCUCACAGCCGAAGGAAAGCCCUCCCGAGGGAAGAGCACACCCAUUGUUUAUCCAAUACCAAUUAAUCACCCCUGAAAACAUACAUUAUACAGACUGAACAGGUUAUACUUAGAAAUAUACAUAUGUGCAUGUAACAAUGGGAAAGAGGUCAUAAAUUGGAAAGCAGUAGGGGAGAAAGGAAAGGGAGAAAUAAUGUAAUUAUAUUACAAUCUGAAAAAUAAUUUUAAUUAGAUGUGCUUCCAAUCCUGACCUUUGAGGUAGGAUGACACAUGUCCUUUAUCCAGAUCCUGAGGCAGGAAGACACACCUUUAACCUAGGCCACAACUUCAGUUGAAAGUCUAUGUAAGAAAAUGGAAGGAGGAAGCCUUUGCUCUUUGCCUGCUCUUUUUUGCCUUGCUAGCAAGUCCUUUCCUUUCCUGACAUUACAGCCUAAUUCUUCAGGGUUUCAAGCGUACACUGAAAUAGUAUGAACACUGAAAACCAGCUGAGACAUCCUGCCUUGUGGACUGAGCAACUACUAGAUUCUUGGACUUUCUGUGCCUAGCCAGUCACUGUUGGAUUAGUUGGACUGCAGCCUGUCAGUCAUUCCAGAGUCCUGGAGACCAAAGGCACCCUAAGAAACCACCCUUUCACAUCAGAGCUGAAAUAAGUAACAAAGCAUUGGAGGCAAAAUAGUAUGAGCUUGGCAUCACAAAACAACCAAAUCUCAGAGGUGCUAAUAUGGGUGGAGUUCUCAGGCCUGCCAAACACUGCUAAUUUUCAUUAUCACUCUAAGCAAUGACCACUGCGAAGCAGGAGGCUCCUACAGCACUCUUCAAUUACUUUAAGGCUCUCGAAUUCACAAGAUGAAGUCAUAUCCACAGGCAUAGGAGUUAAACCAAAGUAACGACCAAGUUCCAACACACAGCAAAACCAGGACAUUUUAGAUGAAUAUAGAUUUAGUCUGCUUUGCUUAAAUGUGUAAGUUCCCAAAAAUAUCAAUCACAUGGCCGUUUUACACUUGAAGAGGUCUGCAUGCAGCAGGUCAUCUAGAGCAUUCCUGAUAGUUUCAACACAAACUUCUCCUUGCUGGUGUUUUUUUGAAGCAAGAUUCCACACAUUUUCGAACUCUUUUUCAGAAAGCUUGACUCCAAUGUUAGUUAAUAUAUCUGAAAUCUAGAAACAAUGAAUUUAAUUCCAGACUAAGAUUUAUGUUUUUAAUUUUGUAUUUUAAAAAUUAAGUACAUAAAAUAAAAUAAAAUAAAAUAUAUAUUUAAAAAAGCCUUUUAACAUUUAAUAUGACAGUCACUGGUCCUCCACAAAAGUACAUGUGUUCACAUAUGCAUAUGUGCCCAUACAUAUGAAAUUAGCAGACAUCAAAGUUGUAGUACUUUUCAGGCAUCGUGGGAAUGCAUUCCUGUAGCUCCAGCACUUGGGAGGCUAAAGCAGGAAUGUUGAAGUUCAAAGCCAAAAGCCAGCCUGGACUACAUAGUGAAUCUGAGAUAAGCCUGUGCUGUAGAGUGAGACCUUUUCUCAUUCUUAUUUAUUUUUAUUAUUAAAAACAAAACAAAGGUGCGAAGGUGCUGGCUGCCAAGACCUUAAUUUGAUUCUCUAAGCCCACAUAAUGGAAGGAGAGAACCAAGUCCCUCAAGGUGUCCUCUGAUAUCCACACAUACUCAGGCAUACAUGAAAUACAUAGGCCCAUGUGCACACACACAUACACACAGAGAGAAAUAAAUUAUAUUUUUUAAAAUGUAACUCCCAAAAUAAAAAUUCAGUAAAUGUAAGUGAAGAAAAGCAGGUGGACAUGGUCAUCUGUGCUUGUCAUCACUUGGGAGGCAGAGGCAGAAAGAUGCUCUUGAGUUGAAGGCCUACCUGGCCUACACAGUGAGACCCUGUUUGAAGGGGGAAAGAAUUAUAUAAUAUACUGAGGGAAGAAAAAGAACUUUGAAGCACAUUACAACCAAACUGAAUAUCAUUCAUCAAGAAUCCUAUAUUCGGGCUGGAGAGAUGGCUCAUCGGUUAAGAGCACUGACUGCUCUUCCAGAGGUCCUGAGUUCAAAUCCCAGCAACCACAUGGUGGCUCACAACCAUCUGUAAUGGGAUCCGAUGCCCUCUUCUGGAGUGUCUAAGACAGCUACAGUGUACUCACAUACAUAAAAUAAUUAAAUAAAUCUAAAAAUUUAAAUAAAUAAGAAUCCUAUAUUCAAGGACCCCUAUACAAGCCAUAAUUCUGAAAAGUCAAAACUGAUAGUCAUGGCCUGGGGCUGGGGCUAAGGCUGGGGCUCAGCUCAAAAAGCUCUUGCCUACCAUGCACAAACCCUGGAUUUGAUCUCCAGCACCACAAGUGCCAGGCACGUACCUGCACUCAGGAGGUGGAGGUGAGAGGAUCAGAAGUUCAAAACCAGCCUCAGCUAUGAGGCUGAUUCAGAGGCUGGCCUGGACUACACAAGAUGAUAAUAAAAUUGAUGUUGAUGUGGCCAGGCGUGGUGGCGCGAGCCUUUAAUCCCAGCACUUGGGAGGCAGAGGCAGGUGAAUUUCUGAGUUCAAGGCCAGUCUGGUCUACAGAGUGAGUUCCAGGACAACCAGAGAAACCCUGUCUUAAAAAGAAAAAAAAUUGAUGAUGAUGAUAAAUAUUGUGCAUCAUAUUAAAAAAUAUGUAAAAUAAAUAAAUAAAUAAUAAAAAGCAAUAUGUAAUCCCUGAAUUCAGUAGGAGGAAUCAAGAGGAUCAUGACUUCACAUUCAGUCUGGGCUACCUAGCAAAGCUCAGUCUCAAAACAAAACAAAUCAAUAAGACACUAGUCAAGUAUGUUUGUUCGUGCCCGCAAUCCCAAUGCUUUGGGAAGCCGAGACAGAAAAACCACCAAGUCCUGAAGGCCAGUCUGGGCUGCAUAGUGAGUACCAGGCCAGAGAAGGGUAAGCAGUGAAUGCCAUCUCGAAAAAACAAAAUAAAAGACAACAGCAACAAUGGUGGUCACGAAAAUAAUAGUGAUCAUUGCUAAGUCCAAAGUUGGAGGUGAUCUCUGUACCUCUUCCUUUGACCUGGUCUUGAAGAAGUCUCUCUGGGAGAAGAUGGAGGGGUGCAGCAGAGACUAAGCAUUGCCUUCGUCACCGUAGUUAUUCACGUCACUGACUCGACGAAUCCGGGAGCAGAGAUGUCAGAUGGGAUGGUUGGAACACCGUAGGUGGGAACCUAGGCCAUCAAUGAGGGAGACAAAGACAUCCUGAACCCAGCUGUAGAACAGCAGCCAUGAGCCACACUUGGCCACAGACCCCUUGAAAUGUAGCUAGCCUAAACAACAAUGUGCUUGCAUAAAAUCCAAACACUGCAUAAAAGAAGAGUGUAGCCAAACACAGUGGGAUUCACCUUGGUUCCAAGGACAUGACAGGCUGAGGCAAGAGAAUAAUACUUGAACACAGAAGUCCAAGUAGAGCUUAGGAAAGUAUUCAACUUUCUUAUCCAUGAGAGUCUCAGUUUUAUUAAUACAGAGCUGCUUUUGAACUUGGGCCAUCGUCAAGAGGUCAGUCAAACUUACCCGUGAGACCUCAGGGUGCUUACAAUACACAGUUAAACUUAAGGCCUUGAGAAACUCUAGAGUCAGAUGCAGAGAGCAACUAGGAACGCUGCAAGAUCACACUAGGAACACUGCCCUUCCAGACGUGCUGCAGAUCGGUUAACUGGACGAGGGAUGAGGCAUGCUUACACAUCGAGGGGACAGCUCCAACCACAGCGUUGAUCUCAGAAGACGUUGUUAUUCCGGUGAGAAACUCUGUCACCUGGUGUCUGGAUUGUCCGGAUAGUCUCUUCUGGACUUCCUGGUUCUUUGGGGACAAUGUCUUCAGGAUUUAUCAGGAGACUUGGUUCAGCUUCUCCCAUGCUAGUCGCAGUAACAUUUUCACAGUCUGGUUUUUUACCUUUAAGAAAAACCCAAAGGAGGAGACAAGAAAGCACGGGAAGAUGUCAGUUCUUGGUGCCUGGUGCUCUGUAGCAAGCUGGAUUAUUUGCUUCAGUAGGUAAAGGCACUGGCCACUUGCCACCAAGCCUGACAACCUACAUUAGAGCCCUGGGAGGCAUAUGGUAGAAGAAAUGAACUGACUCUCUCAAAUUAUUCUCUGACCUUCACAUGCACGCCAUGACAUGUUCAACCCCAUACAAGGACAAACACAAUAACAGCAGUAAUAGUGAUAAUGGUAAUAAUAAAUGCAAUGGUUUUUCAGGAUGAA
Molecule: long non-coding RNA, 4590 nt
Organism: Mus musculus (house mouse)
Lineage: Eukaryota; Metazoa; Chordata; Mammalia; Rodentia; Muridae
Product: predicted gene, 52316
Exons: 2
Source: RefSeq, a predicted model, not a curated record